RNAcentral lists this long non-coding RNA (3893 nucleotides) under Homo sapiens (human). RNAcentral's name for it is "PREDICTED lncRNA (TCONS_00222955)". Lineage: Eukaryota; Metazoa; Chordata; Mammalia; Primates; Hominidae. The record is from RNAcentral.
UUACACCCUUCCACAGAAGUAAAAUUUGCCUUGCUGAGGAAAUUAAAUUUAUGUUUGAGUGCUAUUUCUUUUGCAGCACUGAAAAUUUAUUUCUAACAGUAGCCUCUAAUGCAUUUCACAAAUAGAAGGUAAUAUUACCACUAUUGGAUUAGAGUUUUCCCCUCAUUUCCUCCAUUUUCCUUGUUUCUUCCAUUUUCUAUAAGGAUUUUUUAAAAACAGUCUUAAGCAAAGUCUUCAUAAGAUUUGGGAAGUCAGACCUCACAUCACUGGGAUACUGGUCAGAGGACAGCCCUUGGAUGUCUUCUAGAGUCUCCAUUCCCUCCUUCGCAUGAGUCCUUUCUGUGAUUAGGGUAUGGCAGCAACAACCAAGAUGGGGGCUCUGAAAGGAGGGCAAGGGUUCAGGGGAGGAGAGCAUGGCCCCACAUGGAAUGCUGCCCUUGGUCACCCCAGCCCUCUCUCAAUUUCCCUCACAACCCACCAUCAGGAGCCUCAGAGUAGGCCAGCGUUUGAAACAAGUUUUCAGUGCCGCAAAAGAAACAGCACUCAAACAGAAAUUUUUUUCUCAGCAAGGCAAAUUUACUUCUGCAGAAGGGUGCAGCUGGCGCCAGACAUGAUCACAAGAGCACACUGAGUAGGGUGGGGCAGGAGUUUUUAUCCCUAAUGCAGCAGCUUCUGUAGCUGUGUCCUUUCCCCAUUGGCUGGAGUUGGACUGCACAAUCUAAGCUGAGACCUGACUGGCUACUGUUUAAAAUUGAACAGGGCUAACUAGGCAGGAAGGGAGAGGCUGUCCCUUACAAUUUUAGGGUGCAGUAAAGGCAGAAAGGAUAGUUGCAGAGUAGGGAAUAGAUGUGAGUUAUAGAUUAGGACUGAUGGGAAGAUUGUUUACCAUAAUUAGAGGCAAGGGGGCAUAAAGAACGAGGAAGUUACUCUUUGAAAAUAGAGAACAAAGAACAAGGAAGCUGAACAAGCUGACUCUUCUUUGAAGAGGAACCCACCGUACCCAACACCAGAAAGACUAUAACCUUGCUUUGAAGGCUGGGAGUCCAAGAUCCAGGUGUCAGCAGUGUUGGUAUCUCCUGUGGCCACUCUCCUGGGCUUGCAGACGGCGUCUUCUCCCUGUGUCCCCACAUGACCACCCUUCUCCACCUUAGCAUCCCCGGUGUCUCUGUGUGUCCGGAUGUCCUUUUCUCAUGAGGUGAGGACACAGUCAGAUUGGAUUAGGGCCCACCCUAAUGGACCUGUUUAAAGGCCCUGUCUCCAAGUACAGCCACAUUCUGAGAUACUGGGAGUUAGGGCUUCAAGAUACAAAUUUUAGAGAGGCCCACUCCAGCCCAUCACAAAGACAUAAGGGUGGGGGCCCCAUAAUGAAGACAGAGUUGGGUGGGGAGUAAUGACACAUGAAUAUGCCCCUUUUGUCAUCCUUUUAAAAAGUUGUAGAAGGAAUAAGUUAGGUCACAUAUGUAAAAGUUCAAUAAAAGGCCAUCGAAUAAGAAUUGGAACUCUAGAAAAUCUCCCAGGUUGUCUUUGUUGACAAACUGGUUUCUCUUUCUCUUCUUUCUACUAUUAUAACCCCAGGGAAGUGAACUUGACAUGGUUUAGCAACCAAAUAAAGCCAUACGUCACUGCUGCUCUUUGAAGAUAAUGAAAUCUGGCAUCGAGAUCUUUAUCUUUGCAGGAACCAAAGGCCAGAGACUUCUCAGCAAACACAAGACCAGAGAGAGAAGCAUCCCUGCUGAUGAGAAAGAACAGACACUCCCAGAGGACAAGGUCCACCUGUCAGGCAGCCACAGCCCAGCAUACUCUGGAGUCUGAGGUGGGGGUCAGUUGUGAAGAAAGGGAAGAAGGAAGAAAAAGGAUACGUUGUGCUCCGACCACAGGCCAAGGUCAGAAGACGGUAUUUACCAAGUCUCUUCCCAAAAUACUUGCAAAUGCACAUAAUCUCAAAGUGUUUUUGAGGGCUCUUCCGAUCUAAAAUUGGUCCUAGUGACAAGGGGUGUUUGGGGAAAUCAAAGGGCUGGCUUAACUAUGUAGACCUAGGUCUGGUCUUAUUUCUGGCCCAUACGAUCAUCAUGACCUUGGACAAAUGAAACUUCCUGGGCCUCAAGUUCCUUGUAUCAGAAAGGAUGGCAUUCAGCUGCGUACAACAGAAAACCAAAUCACAGUGGCUUAUCCAAGAAAAGUUCAAUUUUUCUCAAAACUACAGCGUCCUGGGCUGAUGCGGCAGCCCCAGGACGACCUCAGCAUCUCACUCCUCCUUUCUUUACUCGGCCCCAUCCUCAGGCUGUGACUUUCAUCCUCAGGUUUGUCAUCUUUUGGUGGUAAGAUGGUUGCUCUACCUCAAGCUCACAAAAAGAAAUGGGGGAAAGCAGGAAAGAAGAAAAUCUGCUUCCCCAGAGACUCUGAGGCUGCACUUGCACAUCUUAUGGAUCCAAACUGUGUCCCAUGGCUGCCCCUAGAUGCAAGGGGCCUGGGGAAAUGAGCGGAUUCAUCAGGUACACUGCAACCGUACAUGAAAGGAAAGUUCUGUCAAUAAAGAAGAGCGAAAUCUACAUUUGGUCAGGAAACAGCAUUGCCUGCAAUAUGCCUCAUAUGAAAUAAAGCCUUUCUUGCCCCCAUUCUGCUACUCGGUCAUUCUUGCACUCAACAAAUAGAUGUUGAGUGCCCACUCUCUCCAGGCCAUGUUCUAGGUGCUGCGGAUGCAAUCCUGAAUCUAUGAACACGAUUGGCAGAACAAUAAAUAUUGAUUGUCUUGGCCACUCACCAAAUAAAGUGCUCCUGGGAAGGCUGAGAUCUAAUGCAAAGCAGCAGCUUGACUUUCUCACUCCCUGGCAACAAUGCCAAGCAAGAGAAAGCGAUGGGUAAGGCCUGGCUCAAGAGUCUCACUGCAACCUGCACUGUAGAUUCUACCUGCUAAUUUCCUCAGCCUUCUCUGGUUUUGGGCUUCAGAAUGCCCUAACUCUGGGCCCGGCGCGGUGGCUCACGCCUGUAAACCCAUCACUUUGGGAGGCCAAGGCGGGUGGAUCACAAGAUCAAGACCAUCCUGGCCAACAUGGUGAAACCCUGUCUCUACUGAAAAUACAAAAAUUAGCUGGGCAUGGUGGCUUGUGCUUGUAAUCCAGCUACUUGGAAGGCUGAGGCUGGAGGAUCGCUUGAACCCAGAAGGCAGAGGUUGCAGUGAGCUGAGAUCACACCACUGCACUCCAGCCUGGCAACAGAGUGAGACUCUGUCUCAAAAAAAAAAAAAAAAAAAAAAAGAAUGCCCUAAGUCUACUCUGGACCAUGAGCAAGGAUAAUCUGUCUUAGAGGAGAGAAGGUGAGGUUAUGAUUCCAGAGCAUUUGGUGACCCAGGAAGUAGACCUGCCUCCUCCUAUCUGUCCACAGAGCAGUCCUAGGGGCAAUAGGCCAUGAGAAGAUCAUGCCAGGCAGUCCAUUUCUAUAUUACCAUGUAAACAAAAACUCAGCUGUGAACCCUGGAACGUUCGUAUUCUGCAGCUGCCAGUGUAAACUGGUACAGGCCUCUUGAAGAACAGUGGGGAAAGGCACUCUGAAAGCAUCCACGCCUCCAUACCUGCUGAUCCAGGGCUCUGAUUUUCCUUCUGGGAACCAAGCCUAGGAGAAUGAUUCAAGCUGCAGAAAACCUUUCUCCACUAAGAUGUUUGCUGUGGCAUUCAGUAUAAUAGCACACCAGAGAAACAAUCUAAAGAUUCAUCAGUAGGAGAAUAUCUAAGUAAAUUAUGGUACAUACACUCAAUAAAAUGUUAUAUGACUACUAAUUAUGGUGGUUACAAAGACUAUCUCUUUAAGAAAAAUGCUUCUGUGAAUGGUUAAGUGAAAAUUGCAAGAUACGGGCUGGGUGCAGUGGCUCACACCGGGUGCAGAGUCUCACUCUGUUG